GUGUUCGUUGAUACCGGAUGUUGGAUUGAUGUUAGAAGACAAAAUUGCGGUACUGCAUCGGUGGAAUGGUGUUGGAAUGUAUAGAAAAGUUAGGGGUACAAGGCAUACAGAAUGGGGCCAAGAAUUUUCCCUUGUGGGACUCCGCCGUGUGUGAAUCUGAUAUCAGAGUAUUCUUUGCCGCACCUCUCUCUACAUCAGCGGUAUUAGCCAUGCAGUUUUUAUUGAUGGAGAGAGGACCGAGUAAAUAAGGCGCCGAGACCCGACGUUUCCCCCCCCCCGGCCACUACUCCACCAUUUAUUGGCUACCACGGUAAACAGACGAAAAAGAGGUUCAGACAAGUUAAUAGGAUCCUUAUUCCCCCUAAGAAGGCCUACAUCAAAGCGUGACUCCGGAUCCAAAUUAAAACCAUCCCGGUGGGGAAAAUAAACAAAAAGUGGUUACCAAAUAAAUAAAAUAAAAUAAAACACACAAAAUAGACCAUUACAUAAAGACGUCCAUGGACGAGAUGCCGGGACAUUCAUUUCAUGAGAUCAGACUGAAUAUAUUUCAUUAAUAACGGGCU
Long non-coding RNA from Cimex lectularius (bed bug), 563 nucleotides. RefSeq lists it as uncharacterized. The record is from RefSeq and is a predicted model, not a curated record. The transcript is spliced from 3 exons. Lineage: Eukaryota; Metazoa; Arthropoda; Insecta; Hemiptera; Cimicidae.